GAGUUUGAUCUUGGCUCAGAUUGAACGCUGGCGGCAUGCCUUACACAUGCAAGUCGAACGGCAGCACGGGAGCUUGCUCCUGGUGGCGAGUGGCGAACGGGUGAGUAAUGCAUCGGAACGUAUCCUGGAGUGGGGGAUAACGUAGCGAAAGUUACGCUAAUACCGCAUAUUCUGUGAGCAGGAAAGCGGGGGACCUUCGGGCCUCGCGCUCUUGGAGCGGCCGAUGUCGGAUUAGCUAGUUGGUGAGGUAAAGGCUCACCAAGGCGACGAUCCGUAGCAGGCCUGAGAGGAUGAUCUGCCACACUGGAACUGAGACACGGUCCAGACUCCUACGGGAGGCAGCAGUCGGGAAUUUUGGACAAUGGGGGCAACCCUGAUCCAGCCAUGCCGCGUGAGUGAAGAAGGCCU
Molecule: ribosomal RNA, 408 nt
Filed under: bacterium enrichment culture clone ALO1_GLFRUDD03GKVOU
Lineage: Bacteria
Description: bacterial SSU rRNA
Rfam family: Bacterial small subunit ribosomal RNA
Source: RNAcentral